GGGGGCGCCUUGGCUUCGACGGGGACGCGGACGCCGUAUGGGGCAUGCCGAGGUGCAGUCACCUCGUAAAUCCGCUGCAAACAAACAAACGCCAACUCUAAGCGUUACGCUCUCGCCGCCUAAUGGCGAGAUGCUGCACUGAUUCGCCUCUGGGUCAGGUCGGGCAACCGACGGCAGCAUCGAUUACAGAGGCUGGAAUCCUCGGGCGUCGUCGACGCGGGUUCGAGAUCAAUUGACGGCUGGCUUACCGUCGGCCCGCCGAUUGGCAGGGCGGUAGGCGAGACUCAAAUCAUUCGGCUACGCAUGUAGAACCAUCGGAAAAAGGUUUCCGGACGCGGGUUCAACUCCCGCCGCCUCCACCA
This 362-nucleotide transfer-messenger RNA is filed under the name Sutterella megalosphaeroides. RNAcentral's name for it is "Standard tmRNA". It matches the Rfam family "transfer-messenger RNA". Rfam says of the family: Bacterial tmRNA, also known as 10Sa RNA or SsrA, is named for its dual tRNA and mRNA-like properties. Its role is to liberate the mRNA from a stalled ribosome. To accomplish this part of the tmRNA is used as a reading frame that ends in a translation stop signal. Lineage: Bacteria; Pseudomonadati; Pseudomonadota; Betaproteobacteria; Burkholderiales; Sutterellaceae. The record is from Rfam by way of RNAcentral.